Molecule: ribosomal RNA, 501 nt
Filed under: uncultured bacterium
Lineage: Bacteria
Description: partial 16S ribosomal RNA
Rfam family: Bacterial small subunit ribosomal RNA
Source: RNAcentral
AUUGAACGCUGGCGGCAUGCCUUACACAUGCAAGUCGAACGGCAGCACGGGUGCUUGCACCUGGUGGCGAGUGGCGAACGGGUGAGUAAUACAUCGGAACGUACCUUAUCGUGGGGGAUAACGCAGCGAAAGCUGUGCUAAUACCGCAUACGCCCUGAGGGGGAAAGCGGGGGAUCGCAAGACCUCGCGCGAUUAGAGCGGCCGAUGCCUGAUUAGCUUGUUGGUGGGGUAAAAGCCGACCAAGGCGACGAUCAGUAGCUGGUCGGAGAGGGCGAUCAGCCACACUGGGACGGAGACACGGCCCAGAAUCCUACGGGAGGCAGGAGUGGGGAAUUUUGGACAAUGGGGGCAACCCCGAUCCAGCAAUGCCGCGUGAGGGAAGAAGGCCUUCGGGUUGUAAAGCUCUUUUGUCAGGGAAGAAACACCGGCUCUAACACAGUCCGGGAAUGACGGUACCUGAAGAAUAAGCACCGGCUAACUACGUGCCAGCCGCCGCAGUAA